CCUACGGGUGGCAGCAGUGAGGAAUAUUGGUCAAUGGACGCGAGUCUGAACCAGCCAUGCCGCGUGCAGGAUGACGGCUCUAUGGGUUGUAAACUUCUUUUGUACGAGAGUAAACGCAGACACGCGUAUCUUUCUGAAAGUAUCUUAUGAAUAAGGAUCGGCUAACUCCGUGCCAGCAGCCGCGGUAAUACGGAGGAUUCAAGCGUUAUCCGGAUUUAUUGGGUUUAAAGGGUGCUUAGGCGGUCGGAUAAGUUAGUGGUGAAAGCUCGAGGCUCAACUUCGGAAUUGCCGCUGAUACUGUUCGGCUAGAGAGUAGUUGAGGUAGGCGGAAUGUAUGGUGUAGCGGUGAAAUGCUUAGAGAUCAUACAGAACACCGAUUGCGAAGGCAGCUUACCAAGCUACUACUGACGUUGAGGCACGAAAGCGUGGGUAGCAAACAGGAUUAGAUACCCUUGUAGUC
This 460-nucleotide ribosomal RNA is filed under the name uncultured bacterium. RNAcentral describes it as "partial 16S ribosomal RNA". It matches the Rfam family "Bacterial small subunit ribosomal RNA", at positions 338 to 795 of the family's 1533-position model. The record is from RNAcentral.